UACGAAGGGGGGCUAGCGUUGCUCGGAAUCACUGGGCGUAAAGCGCACGUAGGCGGCUUUCUAAGUCAGGGGGUGAAAUCCUGGAGCUCAACUCCAGAACUGCCUUUGAUACUGGAGAGCUCGAGUCCGGAAGAGGUGAGUGGAACUGCGAGUGUAGAGGUGAAAUUCGUAGAUAUUCGCAAGAACACCAGUGGCGAAGGCGGCUCACUGGCCCGGUACUGACGCUGAGGUGCGAAAGCGUGGGGGAGCGAACAGG
This 256-nucleotide ribosomal RNA is filed under the name uncultured bacterium. Its description in RNAcentral is "partial 16S ribosomal RNA". It matches the Rfam family "Bacterial small subunit ribosomal RNA", at positions 524 to 776 of the family's 1533-position model. The record is from RNAcentral.